UACGUAGGGGGCAAACGUUGUCCGGAUUUACUGGGUGUAAAGGGUGCUCAGGCGGUCUUGUAAGUCAGAAGUGAAAUCCUAGAGCUUAACUCUGGAACUGCUUUUGAUACUGCAAGGCUUGAAUAUGGAAGAGGAGGGUGGAAUUUCUGGUGUAGCAGUGAAAUGCGUAGAUAUCAGAAAGAACACCAGUGGCGAAGGCGGCCCUCUGGUCCAUUAUUGACGCUAAAGCACGAAAGCGUGGGGAGCAAACAGG
Molecule: ribosomal RNA, 253 nt
Filed under: uncultured bacterium
Lineage: Bacteria
Description: partial 16S ribosomal RNA
Rfam family: Bacterial small subunit ribosomal RNA
Source: RNAcentral